Long non-coding RNA from Oxyura jamaicensis (ruddy duck), 925 nucleotides. RefSeq lists it as uncharacterized. Lineage: Eukaryota; Metazoa; Chordata; Aves; Anseriformes; Anatidae. The transcript is spliced from 2 exons. The record is from RefSeq and is a predicted model, not a curated record.
CAACUAAAGCAAGAAAGAAGACUUUACUGCCCCAAAGACUUGCUACUCAUUGCUAAUUUGCCAUCCAUCUUGUUUUCAAAGGAAAAAUGAAUGUGCAGGGUGCUUGGAGUCAAAUUUUGGUGGUGAAUGUGAAGUCACUGUCUAUGCUAAUUUCAAUGGCCCUUUCACGGUGAUGUGCCCUACUGUACAGAGAACAAACACAGUUACCAUGGCAGUGUAAACACAAAUACAUACCACACUCAGAGCCAUUCCCAUGUGCUGCAGAGAACAGAGAAAGUUCAUUGUCUUCAUCUGAACACAUCUGGGAAAGAAGGAUGAGAUUAUCUCACUUUAAAAAUAUUUUUAAAUAUUAUGGAAACCAAGACUUGUUCUGAAUGACUCCAUGUCCUGGCAGAUAUGAAAGACGAUCCUUUGAAGCUAAAGGAAUAAGAGAAGGUAGGUGCUUUUUUACGGUAACAAUGUUCAAAUCUAUAAUGAAUGUACUUUAGGAAGAUAUAUGCAGCCUGACAGUUCCGGAAGCCAGCACAAAUUCUCUGGGAGCAGUUUACCCCAGUCUUCUAAAGAGUUAAUAGAAGAAUUUAGCUGUAGCAGAUGAAGAGAAAGUUCCACAGAAAGAACAGAUUGAUAAAUCACUGAUGUAUCCAGAGAAUUAUCUCAUGUUGGAGACUCAUUUUCCCUUGAGGACCAAGGGGUAUAUUCACUUAAAAAUUAAAAAAUAAUUGGAACUAACAGAAUGUAUGUGGAUAGCCUGUUGCCUCUGCUCUGUGGCACAGGUCUUGCCCCUACCAUCUGGCCUGUCCUGACUUCGCAGAGGAAAGCUCUCCAAAGCAGAAACUGUCUUUGUGCUGUGGGGCCCCACUUGUUGUUGGUACUUGGAUAUUCAUGAGAAGAGAUAAUCAUAAUAAAAUAUAACAAGUGAAUAGAA